This 381-nucleotide RNase P RNA is filed under the name Clostridiales bacterium. Its description in RNAcentral is "RNase P RNA component class A". It matches the Rfam family "Bacterial RNase P class A". From Rfam's summary of the family: Ribonuclease P (RNase P) is a ubiquitous endoribonuclease, found in archaea, bacteria and eukarya as well as chloroplasts and mitochondria. Its best characterised activity is the generation of mature 5'-ends of tRNAs by cleaving the 5'-leader elements of precursor-tRNAs. Cellular RNase Ps are ribonucleoproteins. Lineage: Bacteria; Bacillati; Bacillota; Clostridia; Eubacteriales. The record is from RNAcentral. RNAcentral also lists the same sequence under 1 other name.
UGAGUAAGCCAGAUGAUCGCAUCUAAAGAUUUAGAUGAGGAAAGUCCGAGCUCCGAAGGGCAGGGUGCUGGGUAACACCCAGUGGAGGCAACUCCAAGGAUAGUGCAACAGAAAGAUACCGCCCUGGAUUCAUUCCAAUAUGGGAUCAUCUGAUUCCAUAUAGAUUGGUUUCAGGGUAAGGGUGGAAAGGUGAGGUAAAAGCUCACCAGCAUUUAGGCGACUAAAUUGGCUAUGUAAACCCCACCUGGAGCAAGACCGAAUAGGGGAUAUAAAGUGGUUGCCCGCCACAUCCCGGGUAAAGGUCGCUCGAGUCUUCCGGUAACGGUAGACCUAGAUAGAUGAUCAUCCACGACAGAACUCGGCUUAUGGCUUGCUCAUUAU